RNAcentral lists this ribosomal RNA (439 nucleotides) under uncultured bacterium. RNAcentral's name for it is "partial 16S ribosomal RNA". It matches the Rfam family "Bacterial small subunit ribosomal RNA", at positions 338 to 795 of the family's 1533-position model. The record is from RNAcentral.
CCUACGGGAGGCAGCAGUGGGGAAUAUUGCACAAUGGGCGAAAGCCUGAUGCAGCAACGCCGCGUGAGCGAUGAAGGCCUUCGGGUCGUUAAGCUCUGUCCUCAAGGAAGAUAAUGACGGUACUUGAGGAGGAAGCCCCGGCUAACUACGUGCCAGCAGCCGCGGUAAUACGCAGGGGGCUACCGUUAUCCGGAGUUACUGGGCGUAAGGGGUGCGUAGGUGGUUUCUUAAGUCAGAGGUGAAAGGCUACGGCUCAACCGUAGUAAGCCUUUGAAACUGGGAAACUUGAGUGCAGGCGAGGAGAGUGGAAUUACUAGUGUAGCGGUGAAAUGCGUAGAUAUUAGGAAGAACACCAGUAGCGAAGGCGGCUCUCUGGACUGUAACUGACGCUGAGGCACGAAAGCGUGGGGAGCAAACAGGAUUAGAUACCCGUGUAGUC